AGAGUUUGAUCCUGGCUCAGGACGAACGCUGGCGGCGUGCCUAAUACAUGCAAGUCGAGCGAGCUUGCCUAGAUGAUUUUAGUGCUUGCACUAAAUGAAACUAGAUACAAGCGAGCGGCGGACGGGUGAGUAACACGUGGGUAACCUGCCCAAGAGACUGGGAUAACACCUGGAAACAGAUGCUAAUACCGGAUAACAACACUAGACGCAUGUCUAGAGUUUGAAAGAUGGUUAUGCUAUCACUCUUGGAUGGACCUGCGGUGCAUUAGCUAGUUGGUAAGGUAACGGCUUACCAAGGCAAUGAUGCAUAGCCGAGUUGAGAGACUGAUCGGCCACAUUGGGACUGAGACACGGCCCAAACUCCUACGGGAGGCAGCAGUAGGGAAUCUUCCACAAUGGACGAAAGUCUGAUGGAGCAACGCCGCGUGAGUGAAGAAGGGUUUCGGCUCGUAAAGCUCUGUUGGUAGUGAAGAAAGAUAGAGGUGGUAACUGGCUUUUAUUUGACGGUAAUUACUUAGAAAGUCACGGCUAACUACGUGCCAGCAGCCGCGGUAAUACGUAGGUGGCAAGCGUUGUCCGGAUUUAUUGGGCGUAAAGCGAGUGCAGGCGGUUCAAUAAGUCUGAUGUGAAAGCCUUCGGCUCAACCGGAGAAUUGCAUCAGAAACUGUUGAACUUGAGUGCAGAAGAGGAGAGUGGAACUCCAUGUGUAGCGGUGGAAUGCGUAGAUAUAUGGAAGAACACCAGUGGCGAAGGCGGCUCUCUGGUCUGCAACUGACGCUGAGGCUCGAAAGCAUGGGUAGCGAACAGGAUUAGAUACCCUGGUAGUCCAUGCCGUAAACGAUGAGUGCUAAGUGUUGGGAAGGUUUUCCCCCCCUCGUGCUGCAGCUAACGCAUAAGGCACUCCGCGUGGGGAGUACGACCCCAAGGUUGAAACUCAAAGGAAUGAUCGAGGGCCCGCACAAGCGAUGGAGCAUGUGGUUUAAUUCGAAGCAACACGAAGAACCUUGCCAGGUCUUGACAUCCAGUGCAAACCUAAGAGAUUAGGUGUUCCCUUCGGGGACACUGAGACAGGUGGUGCAUGGCUGUCGUCAGCUCGUGUCGUGAGAUGUUGGGUUAAGUCCCGCAACGAGCGCAACCCUUGUCAUUAGUUGCCAUCAUUAAGUUGGGCACUCUAAUGAGACUGCCGGUGACAAACCGGAGGAAGGUGGGGAUGACGUCAAGUCAUCAUGCCCCUUAUGACCUGGGCUACACACGUGCUACAAUGGACGGUACAACGAGAAGCGAACCUGCGAAGGCAAGCGGAUCUCUUAAAGCUGUUCUCAGUUCGGACUGUAGGCUGCAACUCGCCUACACGAAGCUGGAAUCGCUAGUAAUCGCGGAUCAGCACGCCGCGGUGAAUACGUUCCCGGGCCUCGUACAAAGCGCCCGUCA
Molecule: ribosomal RNA, 1431 nt
Filed under: uncultured bacterium
Lineage: Bacteria
Description: bacterial SSU rRNA
Rfam family: Bacterial small subunit ribosomal RNA
Source: RNAcentral